Molecule: ribosomal RNA, 848 nt
Filed under: Amanita flavipes
Lineage: Eukaryota; Fungi; Basidiomycota; Agaricomycetes; Agaricales; Amanitaceae
Description: eukaryotic LSU rRNA
Rfam family: Eukaryotic large subunit ribosomal RNA
Source: RNAcentral
AUUCCCUUAGUAACUGCGAGUGAAGAGGGAAAAGCUCAAAUUUAAAAUCUGGCAGUGUUUCACUGUCCGAGUUGUAACCUAGAGAAGUGUAACCUGUGCUGGACCGUGUAUAAGUCUCCUGGAAUGGAGCAUCAUAGAGGGUGAGAAUCCCGUCUUUGACAUGGACUACCAGUGCAUUGUGGUUGCGCUCUCAACGAGUCGAGUUGUUUGGGAAUGCAGCUCUAAAUGGGUGGUAAAUUCCAUCUAAAGCUAAAUAUUGGCGAGAGACCGAUAGCGAACAAGUACCGUGAGGGAAAGAUGAAAAGAACUUUGGAAAGAGAGUUAAACAGUAUGUGAAAUUGUUGAAAGGGAAACGUUUGAAGUCAGUCGCGUUGGUUGGGGAUCAGCCUGACAUUGUUGGGUGUACUUCCUGGUUGACGGGCCAACAUCAGUUUUGACUGCCAGAAAAAGGCCAAAGGAAUGUGGCACCUUUGGGUGUGUUAUAGCCCUUGGUCGUAUAUGGUGGUUGGGACUGAGGAAAGCAGCGUGCCGAAAGGCCGGGUUUCGACCACGUUCACGCUGAGGAUGUUGGCAUAAUGGCUUUAAGCGACCCGUCUUGAAACACGGACCAAGGAGUCUAACAUGCGUGCGAGUGUUUGGGUGGAAAACCCUUACGCGUAAUGAAAGUGAAAGUUGAGAUCCCUGUCGCGGGGAGCAUCGACGCCCGGACCAGAACUUUUGGGACGGAUCUGCGGUAGAGCAUGUAUGUUGGGACCCGAAAGAUGGUGAACUAUGCCUGAAUAGGGUGAAGCCAGAGGAAACUCUGGUGGAGGCUCGUAGCGAUUCUGACGUGCAAAUCGAUCGUCAAA